This is a long non-coding RNA of Bubalus bubalis (water buffalo), 480 nucleotides long. RefSeq lists it as uncharacterized. The transcript is spliced from 3 exons. The record is from RefSeq and is a predicted model, not a curated record. NCBI's taxonomy places the organism in Eukaryota, Metazoa, Chordata, Mammalia, Artiodactyla, Bovidae.
UGGGUGCCAGGGGACCGCUCCUGCGCUGGAGGUUUCUUGCGGUGAGAUUCCGUGGCGUGACGCAGAAGCAGCUUCGCUUCCGGGUCAUUCAGAAUGGCUUCCGGCCCCCUCGCAGUAGCUGGCGGCCACCCCACCUCCACAGUCGGUUCUAUGCCUCUGCUGCAUCUAGGCCACGUGGGCUAUGUGGCAGCACUCCGUUGGUGCCUCGUUCGUCCUAUCCUCUGAUCCCUGGGCCUGCGCCCUGGUUCUUCCUGAUUUCUGUUUAAGAAUACUGAUGUGGCAGCUCUUACCAGUGUAGGGUAAGGGAGUUAGAGGAGGCGAGGCUCGGAAAAAGAAGAAGGCCGGCACUUUACGGAACGGAUUCACCUUUAAUGAGGCAAGAAGGGGCAGCAUCAGAAUAGUGAGCUGCUGCACUAACCCAAGAAAAGAAACUGACUGAUUUGGAAAGACCUUGAUGCUGGCAAAGAUUGAAGGCAGGAG